AGCCACAUAAGCAAGCUUCUCCUUCAUGUCACGGACAAUUUCCCGUUCAGCAGUGGUGGUGAACAUGUAACCUCUCUCAGUGAGGAUCUUCAUCAGGUUAUCAGUUAGGUCACGGCCAGCAAGGUCCAAACGAAGAAUGGCAUGGGGCAAAGCAUAACCCUCGUAGAUGGGGACAGUGUGACUCACACCAUCACCAGAAUCCAACACAAUACCUGUCAUAAGAUACUCAUAAUUUCAGAUUCAUAACACAUUGCCGAUCAAGGAGAAGAUUUGGAUAUGAAAAGACUGAUACUUACCAGUUGUACGACCACUAGCAUACAAGGAAAGGACAGCCUGAAUAGCAACAUACAUAGCCGGAACGUUGAAUGUCUCAAACAUAAUCUGGGUCAUUUUCUCUCUGUUGGCCUUUGGGUUGAGAGGUGCUUCAGUGAGAAGAACAGGGUGCUCCUCGGGGGCAACACGAAGCUCGUUGUAGAAGGUAUGAUGCCAUAUCUUCUCCAUGUCAUCCCAGUUGCUGACAAUACCGUGCUCAAUUGGGUACUUCAGGGUCAAGAUACCCCUCUUGGAUUGAGCUUCGUCACCCACAUAGGCAUCUUUCUGUCCCAUUCCAACCAUAACACCAGUGUGGCGAGGACGACCCACAAUACUAGGAAAGACAGCUCUAGGAGCAUCAUCCCCAGC
RNAcentral lists this long non-coding RNA (681 nucleotides) under Nicotiana tabacum (common tobacco). Its description in RNAcentral is "long non-coding RNA (NTAB_LNC006783)". The record is from RNAcentral. Lineage: Eukaryota; Viridiplantae; Streptophyta; Magnoliopsida; Solanales; Solanaceae.